CUUCCUGGGCUCCAAUGGUGUGAAGCUGCCGGCGCAGCCCCCCUCUCCUUUCCAUGGUUCCCUCCUCCCCCUCGCGCCGCCUUCUCUACACCCCCUGCACGCACGGGGCAUCCUUGCCGCUCGGCGACCUGGCCGGUAAGGUGGGAGCGGCGGCGGCGCUGCCAUGGCGACCGAGCGUGCACAAAGGCAGGCACGCGGCGGGUUGGCGACCAAGGCGGGGCCAACAGGUGCCGGUGGCAAGGAGCCAUGGCGGGCCAGGUUUGUGCGAUGCUCCUCCUCCAUGCGACCUCCAUCGGUUUUCCCGCCACCGUCGGUCUCCUCCGUAUCAUAGCCGCCGGCAUGGGAGCACAAGAUGGCAUGUUCAUCCUCGAGAUUGAGCUGGCGCUGAUGCGCAGAUCCCUGUGACACUGGAUCUGGUGGUAAACAUGGUUGUGGUUGUUUUCCUUGCCUUGUCUUCUUCUGACUUCUUAACUUCCGUUUUAUGCAUAGUAGUGGCAAUGGAUGACGGCAAAAUUUCUGAGUGCUGUAGAGGAUUUAUCAUGCCAAAAUGGAUCUGAACGCUGCUGUGAGGCACUUCAAAAGCUUCGUAAACAUUAUGGCAUUGUUUUCAACAUUCAAGGAGACAAAACACUUAUUGAACCAGAGAUAAUAGAUGGAAUACGGAUCUUCAUGUGUGAUGCAAUCACUUUUUGAUAAUUGAUAUAGCUGUGCAAGAGGUGCGGUUUAUGGUAUGCAAAAAGCUGGAUAUGAUCUCAGAAAGGUAUGCCCAUUAUUACUGAUUCUGAAAAUAUAAUCCUUCCAGAUUAAUGGGGAAUUGGCACCAUUCCCAUCUGGAUGGCAGAGCAAUGAUGUGCAUCAACUACUUAUAGAGAGAUCUCAGGUUGUGACUUCCUUACUCUAGCAGCCAAAGAGUAUCAAGUUGUUUAUGAUUUUCCUACUGCUAUUUUUUACUUCUGCCAAUUGUUGUAUUUCUGAAGAAGAAAAUGCAUUUGGGCCCGCGUGUGCUGAUGUGCAGGUUGAUUCAAACAAGGUACAAGAGUUUGUGAAAGUUUUAUCAUGUAUGCGUGAUGAUUUUGAUCCAAGGCCUCAAUUUUGUACCAACAUAAUCUUGAAAAAUAAAUUAAAGGUGAAUUCUCUAUUUUAGGUUGGAUCUUAUGCUAACUCUGGCAAUUCCUCGCAAAAUUGGCAGAUUAUUGUCUUGCCAUAUCUUGUAAUCAAGGGAUGUCCAUGUUAUUACAUAUAGAGAAAAAAUGUUACUAUAUAUAGUGCCAUUAUCUUAAUUUUUUUAGCAAGCUAACUCCGAGGACACCUGAAUCAACCAGGUGAGAUAUUCUCAUAUGUGUUCUAAACUUCUAACAUCAAUCCUUUCUUUUCUUUCGUCUGCCUUGCUAUUUCCAUUUAUUUAUCUCCGCGUUUUCUACAAAAAUCAAAUCUCAUUGCAUUUUAUAUUAUCAGAUCUUUGAAUUUUGUGUGUUGCCCAUGGUUUUAACAGCCGUGAUGAAUUUCUAGAGCUAUGCAGCCUGUAUGAUGGAUUUGUUGUUCUCCUUCUAUUUUUGCAGUCAAAUUUAUGUACCGGACAACCAUCCAGCCAAUAACACGCAUGUCACCUAUAUGAAAAUCUGAGUAAAGCGUAUUCUUUCACUUUAUCUACAAUAAUCUCCUUAUUGUGGUCUCCUCUCACUCUCUCAGGUAGUACAAGGAUACUUUAUAUGGUAGCAUCAUGUGUAUUUUUCUUGUGCAUAUCAUUCUAUGUUCCACUGCUAAUUCAUAUUCUUAUUAUAAUCAUCUGUAACAUUCUUCCUUUUUUAUAAUUGAUUUGGUUUUCCACAUUCUUUGCUGCAAUUUUUCAUAGCUACACAUGCAGGUACCAGGAAAAGCUUUUAAUAUGCGCAUGAACCUCAUUUUUAUCCAUGCUCCCUUCUAAGAAGUCCCCAGUUUCAGAACAAAGUGAAGGAAUGAAAAAGAAGCAUGGCCGCUGGCUGUCGUAACGCUCAGGGAGUUGUGGUUCGUAACAUCGCAAGAAAGGGUCGUAUGUUACUUUAACUGGGUGUAAAUAUUGUAAUUCUACAACAAGGUAAUGUUAGCUCGUAUAACAAUUAACUGGCGGUCUUGACCUCAUGCCUUCCCCGUGGCCUCUGCGCUAGAUUGGUGCCGAUCAAUUGACCUGUGGCAUCCAUUAUGCUGCAAGGAAAUCCCGCUCUCAUGACCCGUCUAAUCUUGUGUUAUCACUCUGUGCCACAUUGCCCUCUGUGAAAAGGCUAGAUGAAUAAGAUCGACUGGUGUCUCUAUUAUUCCUUGUGAUAUGAGACAAUAUGCUCAAUUAUAGAGAUAAGGAGAUUGUGAUAGCUGCAGCUGAUGAGGAAUAAAGGGAUACUCAAAAACUUGUGAAUUGAAUUACUUUAGUCCUUGGUACACUGCGACUUGGAUAUCCAAUCAACAGGUCUAUGCAGAAUCCUGUUAGAGAAUUCCACCGAUACUACCUCUUUACGGACAGAGGAAAUGUAUCCUAACGGGUACAUUCAUAGAGUUCAGGGCUGGAAAUUUGUAAUGAUCAGUGUGUUCACCUAUACGGAGGAAUUGUGGUCAAGAAGUAUGUGACUUUUUUAGAAGCAUGCAAAGGUACAUUAGCUUUCGGCCUAAAAGUGUGUAUGUGCUUCAUACAAAGUUUGGCUACUUGAACCUCGCAUUUUCUAUUGGAGGGAUGUAUUGUCUAAAAAUAUUUAUUUUGGUAUUUACUUCUAAAUCACUGCAUUCAUCAGUGAGCAAGCUUUUGGACUCACCACCAAGUGCAAUGUCCAGUGACAAGGUCCAAUAUCUGUGCUAUAGGCGUGACUCACUAGAACAACAGAUGUUAUAUGUACUGCGUACACAAUUAUUACUGAAGUUGUCAGUCCAGACAACACAACACAACACUACUAUAGUCAUUGAUAUCCGGUGAUAAACCUAGAUGGUAGCCAUCCGUGUCAAACAUACAAAAUAGGCUUAGCAAAUCUUCAACAAAUAUUGGAGUAUAUAACUCAGUUGGAAGAGCUCCGCUUUUGAUUUUGGGUGAGGAGAGGCCAGUAUAUAACGCAAAGGUCAACUAUAACAGCAGUGACCGGAUGGCAUCAGUGUGGUUUCUUUUCCCUGUUCUUGCAACAUCAAUCAUCUGAUCCAAAACCAACAAGUAUGAUCUAGGAGUACUUACAACAGGGCAUCUGCAUAAUUUGUGGCAACCAAGCCAAUAGCUCUUUGAGAGUACAUUAAUCAGAUGGCCAAGAAUUUGAUCCUCCUUAUUACUGUCCGACUGACCUCUAAAUUUGUUAUCGAGAAGAGAACACAGCUGCAGCAAAAGGCCAUGAAGUGAAUUGAAUGUAGAAGACUUUGCGUCUUAGCUGAUACAUGAGGAUCAGAGCACUGAGAACUGUGAGCUGCCACUUCACAGCUUCCGCAAGGUUACUUGCACUGAUAAAUGGAGAUUGCGCCAGUCAUCUAUCAAGAUUCUAAUCUGCCUACAUUUUCUGGUCUUCUGUUGUAAAGAUUGAGCCAAUAUGCCAUCUUCAAGUCAGGAUCAUUCUUGAGAGUAAUUAUGGGAAGUUGCAAAAAGUCGGUUGGGAAGAGUAGCCGAAGUGAUAAAGGGUGGGACUUACUGCAGCGGAAAAAUAUGUUUAUCUCUAUUUUUGGAUAAGAGUGGACAUGGUUAGUAUUUCAGAUAUACAUUCACUAAAGUUAGAUGGAAAUUCCAGAUCAAACAUGGGUGAAGGAUCCUAAUGUCAUUGCUCUUGUGGAUUUCAUUAACUCAAUUUUACCAACAUCAAAAUUAUUCCCUUUAUAGAUGGUCCGACUUACUUU
Non-coding RNA from Lolium perenne, 3831 nucleotides. Lineage: Eukaryota; Viridiplantae; Streptophyta; Magnoliopsida; Poales; Poaceae. The record is from RefSeq and is a predicted model, not a curated record.